UCGAGGAUCUUCGGCAAUGAGCGCAAGCUUGACCGAGCGACGCCGCGUGUGCGAAGAAGGCCUUCGGGUUGUAAAGCACUGUCGAGGGGGAGGAAAGCCCGAAAGGGUCUGACCUAUCCCUGGAGGAAGCACGGGCUAAGUUCGUGCCAGCAGCCGCGGUAAGACGAACCGUGCGAACGUUGUUCGGAAUCACUGGGCUUAAAGGGCGCGUAGGCGGGUCAGCAAGUCCGGGGUGAAAUCUUUCGGCUCAACCGGAAAAGUGCCUUGGAUACUGCUGGUCUCGAGGGAGGUAGGGGUCUGUGGAACUUCUGGUGGAGCGGUGAAAUGCGUUGAUAUCAGAAGGAACGCCGGUGGCGAAAGCGACGGACUGGAUCUCUUCUGACGCUGAGGCGCGAAAGCUAGGGGAGCAAACGGG
This 415-nucleotide ribosomal RNA is filed under the name uncultured bacterium. RNAcentral describes it as "bacterial SSU rRNA". It matches the Rfam family "Bacterial small subunit ribosomal RNA", at positions 355 to 776 of the family's 1533-position model. The record is from RNAcentral.